RNAcentral lists this non-coding RNA (80 nucleotides) under Mesorhizobium delmotii. RNAcentral describes it as "SAM_alpha". It matches the Rfam family "Alpha-proteobacteria SAM riboswitch aptamer". From Rfam's summary of the family: This family is a riboswitch found predominantly in alpha-proteobacteria that binds S-adenosyl methionine (SAM). This SAM riboswitch is located upstream of the metA and metC genes in Agrobacterium tumefaciens, and other methionine and SAM biosynthesis genes in other alpha-proteobacteria. Lineage: Bacteria; Pseudomonadati; Pseudomonadota; Alphaproteobacteria; Hyphomicrobiales; Phyllobacteriaceae. The record is from RNAcentral.
UCAUUAUCCCGUGGUGAUUUGGCCGGUCGGCUUGCAGCCACGUUAAACAAGUCGCUAAAGGACCGUCGGGCCGAAAGGCC